GGGGUGGAGACGGCUCUAUCCAAACAAAACUGUGUAAGAACUGGAAACAGUUUUCCAAGACUUGGGACCAUGAAUCUCUGACAGGGAGACAUUGUUGGGAUUUAACUACUUCAGCCUGAAGUGCUCUGUUACACUGAAGAACCAUCGUAUGGCACUGAGGAAGAUCCACGAUGAACGGAGUAGGUUUCAGAAUCUUCAAUCUCGAAAGUCUCACCGGAAAAGAAGCUGUAAACACCCCCAGGAAACCAUGGAAAUGGAUGACCAGACCCUUCAUCAUAAAGAUCUCAGCUUAUGACGAACAGACCAGAGAGAACUUGCCCGAAGACACCAACCAAGGAGCCUCUGCCCAGUUCUGCUGGCUCCUACAUGGCCCUGUCUGCUUGCAUUCAUAGCACCUAUGGUCAUGUGAAUUAUGCUGGCUUCUUCCUGUUGCUCUUUGGUAGAGAAAUUCCUGGGCCUUUGUCUACAUUCCCUGUUGUGCUUUAUCUGCAGCAUCUUCCCCUUUUCUGAC
This 511-nucleotide long non-coding RNA is filed under the name Fukomys damarensis (Damara mole-rat). RNAcentral's name for it is "lncRNA (ENSFDAG00000025392.1)". The record is from RNAcentral. Lineage: Eukaryota; Metazoa; Chordata; Mammalia; Rodentia; Bathyergidae.